This 22-nucleotide microRNA is filed under the name Tursiops truncatus (common bottlenose dolphin). RNAcentral describes it as "miR-3535". Lineage: Eukaryota; Metazoa; Chordata; Mammalia; Artiodactyla; Delphinidae. The record is from RNAcentral.
UCUAGAUAGUCAAGUUCUGAUC